This 253-nucleotide ribosomal RNA is filed under the name uncultured bacterium. RNAcentral's name for it is "partial 16S ribosomal RNA". It matches the Rfam family "Bacterial small subunit ribosomal RNA", at positions 524 to 776 of the family's 1533-position model. The record is from RNAcentral.
UACGUAGGGGGCGAGCGUUGUCCGAAUUUAUUGGGCGUAAAGCGCGUGUAGGCGGCUCUUUAAGUCAGAUGUGAAAUCCUGCGGCUCAACUGCAGAACUGCAUUUGAUACUGGAGGGCUUGAGUGUGGGAGAGGAAAGUGGAAUUCCUGGUGUAGCGGUGAAAUGCGUAGAUAUCAGGAGGAACACCCGUGGCGAAGGCGGCUUUCUGGCCCACCACUGACGCUGAGACGCGAAAGCUAGGGGAGCGAACGGG